This 497-nucleotide ribosomal RNA is filed under the name uncultured bacterium. RNAcentral describes it as "partial 16S ribosomal RNA". It matches the Rfam family "Bacterial small subunit ribosomal RNA", at positions 28 to 507 of the family's 1533-position model. The record is from RNAcentral.
GAUGAACGCUGGCGGCGUGCCUAAUACAUGCAAGUCGAGCGAACGGACGAGAAGCUUGCUUCUCUGAUGUUAGCGGCGGACGGGUGAGUAACACGUGGAUAACCUACCUAUAAGACUGGGAUAACUUCGGGAAACCGUAGCUAAUACCGGAUAAUAUUUUGAACCGCAUGGUUCAAAAGUGAAAGACGGUCUUGCUGUCACUUAUAGAUGGAUCCGCGCUGCAUUAGCUAGUUGGUAAGGUAACGGCUUACCAAGGCAACGAUGCAUAGCCGACCUGAGAGGGUGAUCGGCCACACUGGAACUGAGACACGGUCAAGACUCCUACGGGAGGCAGCAGUAGGGAAUCUUCCGCAAUGGGCGAAAGCAUGACGGAGCAACGCCGCGUGAGUGAUGAAGGUCUUCGGAUCGUAAAACUCUGUUAUUAGGGAAGAACAUAUGUGUAAGUAACUGUGCACAUCUUGACGGUACCUAAUCAGAAAGCCACGGCUAACUACGUG